GACAAGUUAACUGGGUUUUUUCAUCUUGCAUGAGUUGCUGUGUUUGAUUAUUUUUAAUAUUUUAAUAUUGUACAGUGUUUUAUUCUUAUUGUUUUAUUGCAUGUCUUUUACCCUAUUUAUUGUUGACUUGUCCUGGAGAGACUCCUGCCCCUCCCUGAUUAUUAACUUGACACACCUGGGAGGUCCCAGAGGCCAAUAAGAGGGCCUGGCAGGUCAGGAGAAGGAGGGCAGCAGAGAUGGCGAAGUAGCUGGUGGCAGGCAGUGUCUGCAAGUGGCAACGUUGGCGCAGCAGUACGUGGCGAGGGCAUAUGACGGCCAGUGUGCAGAGGGAGCUGUGCUAGUGCUGAAGAAGUAGCUUGAUGCCGGAGAACGCUAUACGGUGGGGGAUUAAGUGGCAGCGGGGCAGCGCCCUAUCUCCUACAGCGAGACCACAGUGUUGGCGUGACACAGAAAAGUGGCAGGUGGAGCUGAGAGCUCUGCCCAUCCGGGUACUCCGAAGCGGAGAGACAGAUGAGACGGCUGUGGGACACCGCCGGGUUUUCCUUGCCCCGCUCCGAUUUUACUGGAUUUUAAUGCUGUGGCUGACGCCAAUGGACUUUUAGUGUUUAUGUUUUAUGGUUUUUACUCUGUGUUCUCCCUGGCCAGGGUAUGUUUUAUGGUUUUUAACUUCAUGUUCUGCCUGGCCAGAGUAUUUUAGUGGUUUAUUUGUAAAUUAAUUUUAGUUUUAACAACGUGAGUUUAUUUUCUACUUCCUUGGCUCCUCCACUGCUCUUCCCGUUAGAAAGGUUUCCCUUCUGUUUCAACCUACCACCUAGUGUCCACUUACAAUUACGCCUCAGUGUAUUUAAGCCCCGUGUUUCUCUGUGUCAGUGUUGUUGUACCCUCAGAUUUUACCUGUGUGUUCCAGUUAUUGCUUUCACGGUUUGGUUUCUGUUUCACGCCAGCAAUAAAGCUGAGGUUUUUGAGUUUGCCA
This is a long non-coding RNA of Oreochromis aureus, 973 nucleotides long. RefSeq lists it as uncharacterized. The record is from RefSeq and is a predicted model, not a curated record. NCBI's taxonomy places the organism in Eukaryota, Metazoa, Chordata, Actinopteri, Cichliformes, Cichlidae. The transcript is spliced from 2 exons.